GGUUCGGGAGCCUCCCACUGGGACGGGGGGCAUGAAUGGAACCAACGCCCAAUCGCCACUCGGCGCGCGCACGGCCCCCCAACUGGGCGCGCU
Molecule: non-coding RNA, 93 nt
Filed under: unclassified sequences
Description: Rhodo-rpoB RNA
Rfam family: Rhodo-rpoB RNA
Source: RNAcentral